AUCAAGUUGACAAGUCCCAAACAGGACGAAAUGCUCAUCCCGGAU
RNAcentral lists this non-coding RNA (45 nucleotides) under Schistosoma curassoni. The record is from RNAcentral. Lineage: Eukaryota; Metazoa; Platyhelminthes; Trematoda; Strigeidida; Schistosomatidae.